RNAcentral lists this ribosomal RNA (564 nucleotides) under uncultured bacterium. RNAcentral's name for it is "bacterial SSU rRNA". It matches the Rfam family "Bacterial small subunit ribosomal RNA", at positions 338 to 916 of the family's 1533-position model. The record is from RNAcentral.
CCUACGGGAGGCAGCAGUGGGGAAUUUUCCGCAAUGGGSGAAAGCCUGACGGAGCAACGCCGCGUGAGGGACGAAGGCCUCUGGGCUGUAAACCUCUUUUCUCAAGGAAGAAGAUAUGACGGUACUUGAGGAAUAAGCCACGGCUAAUUCCGUGCCAGCAGCCGCGGUAAUACGGGAGUGGCAAGCGUUAUCCGGAAUUAUUGGGCGUAAAGCGUCCGCAGGCGGCUUUUCAAGUCUGCUGUUAAARCGUGGAGCUUAACUCCAUCAUGGCAGUGGAAACUGAAAGGCUUGAGUAUGGUAGGGGCAGAGGGAAUUCCCGGUGUAGCGGUGAAAUGCGUAGAUAUCGGGAAGAACACCAGUGGCGAAGGCGCUCUGCUGGGCCAUUACUGACGCUCAUGGACGAAAGCCAGGGGAGCGAAAGGGAUUAGAUACCCCUGUAGUCCUGGCCGUAAACGAUGAACACUAGGUGUCGGGGGAAUCGACCCCUUCGGUGUCGUAGCUAACGCGUUAAGUGUUCCGCCUGGGGAGUACGCACGCAAGUGUGAAACUCAAAGGAAUUGACGG